This 343-nucleotide ribosomal RNA is filed under the name uncultured bacterium. Its description in RNAcentral is "partial 16S ribosomal RNA". It matches the Rfam family "Bacterial small subunit ribosomal RNA", at positions 338 to 695 of the family's 1533-position model. The record is from RNAcentral.
CCUACGGGAGGCAGCAGUGGGGAAUAUUGGGCAAUGGGCGCAAGCCUGACCCAGCAACGCCGCGUGAAGGAAGAAGGCCCUCGGGUUGUAAACUUCUUUUAUUCGGGACGAAACAAAUGACGGUACCGAAUGAAUAAGCCACGGCUAACUACGUGCCAGCAGCCGCGGUACUACGUAGGUGGCAAGCGUUAUCCGGAUGUACUGGGUUGAAAGGGCGUUUAGGCGGGAGAGCAAGUCAGACGUGAAAUUCCAGGGCUCAACCCUGGAACUGCGUUUGAAACUGUUCGUCUUGAGUGAGGGAGAGGUAGGCGGAAGUCCGGGUGUAGCGGUGAAAUGCGGAGAU